UUGCAGUACUUACUUUUCCCCGACUGGUUCCUUACUCCAGCAUUAUUUCAUACCAAACUUUUGUAACUUCGUGUUUGUGUAGAUUCACAUGUGAGCAGCCAUUGCGAUCAUGCUUUUUGCCUAGCGCCCUCUCGCGGCCAACUAAACUUUUUUUAACAGCGCGCGCCGCCUAGAAUUUGGCUCAACUAUGCGAUGGGCGUAGCGAGCGUGCAAGUUUUGCAUUCCAACGCGCUUUGUUUAAGCGGAAUAGUUGACAUUCCGGGCGUUUUGGUAUAGUUUUCUUGUAGGGCCUGCUGCGGAAUAUUGUUGAUUUCGAUCCAACACAUCGUUGAAUUCAGACCAUCUAUUACGAGCGCUUACACUCUCCACUUUUAUUGCAAUUUUGAGAGAGGCUCCCUAUACUAGCAGUAAAAUAUUUACAUCUACAUUGUAUUUUCACUGCUGAUCGUCGAUUUUCACAUCGGAGUAGGCAUGAACGUAGAUCUUCCCAAGUGAUUAAUAUCCUUGGAGCUACUUCAUUAGCCAUUUCCCUUUUGACUGUCGUUUUUUAUACACCCAACCAAGUUUCUAAUAUAAUUCUUGUGUAAAUACCUAAUAAUUUGUAUAUAUAUUGUCUCUAUUUGUAUUAUAAAUAAACCAUUUCAUAUUUGUGAGACAACAGAAAA
This 665-nucleotide long non-coding RNA is filed under the name Patiria miniata (bat star). RNAcentral's name for it is "uncharacterized LOC119740907". The record is from RNAcentral. Lineage: Eukaryota; Metazoa; Echinodermata; Asteroidea; Valvatida; Asterinidae.